CAUGUAGCUCUUGCACCGCUAAAAGAAACGUAUUGCAGUUGCUUCCCUACAAAUAAAAAAUCGUACUCUUGCCCGAUCCCCUUUCUCCUUUCCUUCUUCUCUCCGCUCGCUCAUUCCAAAAUUCCUACGACCGAAUGAGAUCCGACUGGUAACUCAGCUACCAUCAGUUUGCUCUCCCUUUAGCUUGCUCGUCCUCGACUGAGGCACCUCCCAGCUCGACUCGCAUGUGAUGUGGGCUUGGAUCUUGUCUUCCGCUGCCAGCUUGAAUCCAUCUUCAGCAUGAGGAUGGCGGCAGCGUUGUCUUCCCCUAGCGCGCGAGCCAGACGCAUCGUCGUCGUUCCCAGUCGAGGCAGCCAGACACAUCGUCGUCUUCCUCCACAUCGGCAGCUUUCUUCGUCCUACAGGGGGAUGUGGAACCUCGAGUGUGCUCCCUAUAGAAGCAGCGCUGCAAUAUGAGAUGACACCACUGCUAGUACUAUCUUUCCUUCGGAACACAACUUUGCUGUGAUUGCCUCCGUAGGUGGAAACGCAACCUUUCGAUGCAGGGAUCUUGAAAGUGCAUUUUGAACUGAAAUAUUCUUCAACACACGUCAUUGCCUGAUAUGUGUUGACAGAUGGUGGGCGCUGGUCGGUAGCGCGCCGAGGCCACUUCUUC
Molecule: long non-coding RNA, 655 nt
Organism: Triticum dicoccoides
Lineage: Eukaryota; Viridiplantae; Streptophyta; Magnoliopsida; Poales; Poaceae
Exons: 4
Source: RefSeq, a predicted model, not a curated record